ACACAAUGUGAUAGAAGAAUAAUCCUUUUAUUCAUUUAUAGUCAAAAUUAUAAAUUUGCCCUUAGAUCUGUACAGGAAUGUGUCAGCCAAUCUGGCAUCUAGGGCACACAUCUAACAUCUUCUUCUUCGAAGCUUAACUCAUUACGAUCACUCUAUAUAGCUACCAUAGCCUUUUUCUUGUACUUUUUUGGGCCCUUCUUAAGUUGUGGACAUUCAGACCUAAAGUGCCUUGACUUUUUAUAUUCAUAACAAACAAGGGGUUGCUCCUUAUCUUUCUCCUUGCUAUGCUUCCCUUUUGUAGGUGGCCUCUUCCUCAUCCCUUAUUUUCUUUUCUUCAUAAAUCUUUUGAACUUUCAAGUGAUGAGGCCUAUUUCUUCAUCUUGCUCUUUAUUUUCUGUUUCAUCGAAUUUCUCAUCGAGUUGAGUAGUGGAUUUAAGGGCGAUUGUCCUCUUCUUCUUAACAUCUUCUUCUUGAUAUUGUUUCAUGCUUAGCUCGUGUAUCAUUAGCAAUCUUAGAAGCUCUUCCAAGAGUAAGGCAUUCAGAUCUUUGGCUUCUUAGAUUGCGAUCACUUUAGCCUCCCAAGUCCUUGAUAAAGACCUAAGAAUCUUUCUCACAAGAUCN
This 621-nucleotide long non-coding RNA is filed under the name Elaeis guineensis (African oil palm). Its description in RNAcentral is "long non-coding RNA (EGUI_LNC079396)". The record is from RNAcentral. Lineage: Eukaryota; Viridiplantae; Streptophyta; Magnoliopsida; Arecales; Arecaceae.